RNAcentral lists this ribosomal RNA (451 nucleotides) under uncultured bacterium. RNAcentral's name for it is "bacterial SSU rRNA". It matches the Rfam family "Bacterial small subunit ribosomal RNA", at positions 335 to 799 of the family's 1533-position model. The record is from RNAcentral.
ACUCCUACGGGAGGCAGCAGUGGGGAAUAUUGCACAAUGGGCGCAAGCCUGAUGCAGCAACGCCGUGUGAGUGAAGAAGGUUUUCGGAUCGUAAAACUCUGUCCUAAGGGAAGAAACAAAUGACGGUACCUUAGGAGGAAGCCCCGGCUAACUACGUGCCAGCAGCCGCGGUAAUACGUAGGGGGCAAGCGUUAUCCGGAAUCACUGGGCGUAAAGGGUGCGUAGGCGGCUUAGCAAGCCAGGGGUGAAAGGCAUUGGCUCAACCAAUGUAAGCCUUUGGAACUGUUAAGCUUGAGUGCAGGAGAGGUAAGUGGAAUUCCUAGUGUAGAGGUGAAAUUCGUAGAUAUUAGGAGGAACACCAGUGGCGAAGGCGACUUACUGGAACUGUAACUGACGCUGAUGCACGAAAGCGUGGGUAGCGAACAGGAUUAGAUACCCUGGUGGCACAGAG